RNAcentral lists this long non-coding RNA (1140 nucleotides) under Heterocephalus glaber (naked mole-rat). Its description in RNAcentral is "lncRNA (ENSHGLG00100034181.1)". Lineage: Eukaryota; Metazoa; Chordata; Mammalia; Rodentia; Bathyergidae. The record is from RNAcentral.
GAAAAGUAACUGAGACAAAUACUGACAGGAAUUCUUUGCAUUGGUACUUGUUUCCUACAACCUACAGAGUUAUAAAAUAGCUCAAGUACCACGAAGAACACAAAUUCCAUAGAAUCAGAUAUCUAGGAGCCAGGGUGGUGGCUCACACCUGUGAUCCCAGCACUUGGGAGGCUGAGGUUGAGGAUCGCUGUUAGUUCUGUUAGUUCGAGGCCAGCCUGGGCUACAUAGUGAGACCCUGUCUCAAAACAAAACAAAAAAACCAAACAGAAAAAAAGAAUCAGAUAACUAGGAGUGGUAUACAGCACGCAGUUGAGAAUAAUUUGACUUGUUGGGUUUGUGCUACAGCCAACUGCAUGAGGAGGAGGGAACAGACAAUUCUACAGCUUGGGCUAGCUGUGAAACAAUUGUAUUCCUGUUCUGAUUUGUUUGAGCUCCCCUUAUUCCCAUACUUAGAGUUGCUGUUGCUCACUAAUGCUGAGCAAGUUGAGUCUUGUGUCUUUGGCACUAAAGAGGAGUUGUGACAUCAUAUGGCUUCUGAUUUUCUUCUUAUAAUGUGUUUGUUUGUUUUUUUGAGACAGUCUCGGUAUGGAGUUCAGGCUGACCUCAAACUCACAGUGAUACCCCUGCCUCAGCCUCCUGAGUGCUGGGAUUACAGUUGUGUACUACCACACCUGGCCCUAUCUUUAUUUUGAGACAGAGUCUUGCUAAAUUGCCUGGACUGGCCUGAUACUUUCCAUCUUCCUGUAUCAGCCUCCUAUAAGUAGCUGUGAUUAUAGGGAUUGAACUUGGGUCCUUGAGCUUGUGAGACAGGGAUCGGAACCACUGAGCUAAAUCCCCCCCCCCAUUGUCUUCUAUAGGUAUUGUACAAAUUUACAUUCUGAGUAAGUGCAGUAGUGUACAGCUGUAGUAAUCCUAGUUAUUCAAGAGGCUGAGGAAGGAGGAUCAUUUGAGCCCAGGAAUUCCACAGCACCCUGAGAAACAAUGGAACUCCAUUUCCCUCCCCCAUUACAUCCUUGCUUAUAGAUGAUCUUUUUUCCACACCCUUGUUACCAGUAUGUAUACUCAUCAUUUUGGAUGUUUGCUAUUUGCUAGUCUGAGGGUAAAAAAAAAUGUAUAGUUUUUAAUUUGCAUAAAAUAGGU